UCCCUGGUGGCUGAAAUGGUAAAGAAUCUGCCUGCAAUGCAGGAGACCCAAGUUCAAUCCCUGAAUUGGGAA
Bos taurus (domestic cattle) is the source of this 72-nucleotide non-coding RNA. Lineage: Eukaryota; Metazoa; Chordata; Mammalia; Artiodactyla; Bovidae. The record is from Rfam.